GGGGAUUUAGCUCAGAGGUAGAGCACUUGCCUAGCAAGCUCAAGGCCCUGGGUUCAAUCCCCAGCUCCA
Molecule: transfer RNA, 69 nt
Filed under: Rattus norvegicus (Norway rat)
Lineage: Eukaryota; Metazoa; Chordata; Mammalia; Rodentia; Muridae
Rfam family: tRNA
About the family: Transfer RNA (tRNA) molecules are approximately 80 nucleotides in length.
Source: Rfam by way of RNAcentral